Molecule: ribosomal RNA, 245 nt
Filed under: uncultured Anaerolineaceae bacterium
Lineage: Bacteria; Bacillati; Chloroflexota; Anaerolineae; Anaerolineales; Anaerolineaceae
Description: partial 16S ribosomal RNA
Rfam family: Bacterial small subunit ribosomal RNA
Source: RNAcentral
AACGUAGGAGCCUAGCGUUAUCCGAAUUCACUGGGCGUAAAGCGCGUGUAGGCGGCUCGGUAAGUUGGAUGUAAAAUCUCCUGGCUCAACUGGGAGGGGACGUUCAAUACUGCUGGGCUAGAGGGCAGCAGAGGGAGGUGGAAUUCCCGGUGUAGUGGUGAAAUGCGUAGAUAUCGGGAGGAACACCAGAGGCGAAGGCGGCCUCCUGGGCUGCACCUGACGCUCAGACGCGAAAGCUAGGGGAG